GUGUGUGUUUGUAUAGUGUGUAUAUAAUGAAUGCAGUGUGUGUGUGUUUGUAUAGUGUGUAUAUAAUGAAUGCAGUGUGUGUGUGUGUGUGUUUGUAUAGUGUGUAUGUAUAAUGAAUGCAUGUGUGUGUUUUGUAUAGUGUGUGUGUAUAUACGAAUGCAGUGUGUGUGUGUUUGUAUGCGUGUGUGUAUAUAAUGAAUGCAGUGUGUGUGUUUGUAUAGUGUGUGUAUAUAAUGAAUGCAGUGUGUGUGUGUGUGUUUUGUAUAGUGUGUAUAUAAUGAAUGCAGUGUGUGUGUGGUGUUUGUAUAGUGUGUAUAUAAUGAAUGCAGUGUGUGUGUGUUUGUAUAGUGUGUAUAUAAUGAAUGCAGUGUGUGUGUGUGUUUGUAUAGUGUAUAUAAAUGAAUGCAGUAGGUAGUUUGCAUAAAGUGCGUAUAUACGAAUGCAGUGUGUGUGUGUGUGUUGUAUAGUGUGUAUAUAAUGAAUGCAGUGUGUGUGUGUUUGUAUAGUGUGUAUGGUAAUGAAUGCAGUGUGUGUGUUUGUAUAGUGUGUAUAUAAUGAAUGCAGUGUGUGUGUGUGUUUGUAUAGUGUGUGUAUAUAAUGAAUGCAGGUGGUGUGUGUGUGUGUUUGUAUAGUGUGUAUAUAAUGAAUGCAGGUGUGUGUGUUUGUAUAGUGUGUAUAUAAUGAAUGGUGUGUGUGUGUUUGUAUAGUGUGUAUAUAAUGAAUGCAGUGUGUGUGUUUGUAUAGUGUGUAUAUAAUGAAUGCAGUGUGUGUGUGUGUGUUUGUGUAUAUAAUGAAUGCAGUGUGUGUGUGUGUUUGUAUAGUGUGUAUAUAAUGAAUGCAGUGUGUGUGUGUUUGUAUAGUGUGUAUAUAAUGAAUGCAGUGUGUGUGUUUGUAUAGUUUGUGUGUGUUUGUGAAGGGAUGUAAUUUGUGUAAAAUGGGCAGGAG
Non-coding RNA from Pelobates cultripes (western spadefoot toad), 945 nucleotides. Lineage: Eukaryota; Metazoa; Chordata; Amphibia; Anura; Pelobatidae. The record is from the annotation of a GenBank genome assembly.